AGUCCAUCAUCCAUGCCCUGGCUGCUUUACAGGGUGUAUCAGGACAGGAGAUAGAAGACCUAUUUCUUGGUGGCCCAGAAUACAGUGUCAGUGAAGUGGAAGAAUUUAACCGAAAGAUAGGGCAGCAAUUAAAGAAGGAGGGAAUGCUGUGAUAUCUGUUGGAAUAGAAGAUGCUACUGCUCAGUGCUUCCAGAAUCCUUCAUUUGAGUCUUGGGUCUGAAUCUACUGCGUCAUUGCCAAGUAUUCUGGGGUAAUGUAUCUUGUUUUGUUUACAUUUUGUUUUUCUCCAUAUUCCAAGCUCAUUUACUUGACCUUAGCUUUAAUAAACUGGAUGGCUGUCUCCUUCACAGUUGAUUUUAAAGUACUAUACUAUUCAUUACAUAAAAAGCUCUGAACAAUUUAGUCCCUUCCUGUAUUUGGUACUGUCUCUCCCCCAACACUCCUCAGUGUAAUCUUUAAACCACAACCACUAAUUUUCUUAUGAAAGAACUGGUGAAGCAGCUUGCACAUGUAUACCAAAAAUAUAGAAUGCCAGCUAUAAAUGAAAAACCUUUCAAAA
This is a long non-coding RNA of Erpetoichthys calabaricus (reedfish), 559 nucleotides long. RefSeq lists it as uncharacterized. NCBI's taxonomy places the organism in Eukaryota, Metazoa, Chordata, Cladistia, Polypteriformes, Polypteridae. The record is from RefSeq and is a predicted model, not a curated record. The transcript is spliced from 2 exons.